UACGAAGGGGGCUAGCGUUGCUCGGAAUCACUGGGCGUAAAGGGUGCGUAGGCGGGUCUUUAAGUCAGGGGUGAAAUCCUGGAGCUCAACUCCAGAACUGCCUUUGAUACUGAGGAUCUUGAGUUCGGGAGAGGUGAGUGGAACUGCGAGUGUAGAGGUGAAAUUCGUAGAUAUUCGCAAGAACACCAGUGGCGAAGGCGGCUCACUGGCCCGAUACUGACGCUGAGGCACGAAAGCUAGGGGAGCAAACGGG
Molecule: ribosomal RNA, 253 nt
Filed under: uncultured bacterium
Lineage: Bacteria
Description: partial 16S ribosomal RNA
Rfam family: Bacterial small subunit ribosomal RNA
Source: RNAcentral